CGAACGGGUGAGUAAUACAUCGGAACGUGUCCGCUCGUGGGGGACAACCAGCCGAAAGGUUGGCUAAUACCGCAUGAGUUCUACGGAAGAAAGAGGGGGACCCGCAAGGGCCUCUCGCGAGCGGAGCGGCCGAUGACUGAUUAGCCGGUUGGUGAGGUAACGGCUCACCAAAGCAACGAUCAGUAGCUGGUCUGAGAGGACGACCAGCCACACUGGGACUGAGACACGGCCCAG
This 234-nucleotide ribosomal RNA is filed under the name uncultured bacterium. RNAcentral describes it as "partial 16S ribosomal RNA". It matches the Rfam family "Bacterial small subunit ribosomal RNA", at positions 99 to 334 of the family's 1533-position model. The record is from RNAcentral. RNAcentral also lists the same sequence under 1 other name.